UAAGAUGGCUGAAAGCAAGUACUG
RNAcentral lists this transfer RNA (24 nucleotides) under Xenopsylla cheopis (oriental rat flea). Its description in RNAcentral is "partial tRNA-Lys". Lineage: Eukaryota; Metazoa; Arthropoda; Insecta; Siphonaptera; Pulicidae. The record is from RNAcentral.